UUGAGUGAGGACAGGGAUAAGGUGAAGUGGACACUGACUAAAAAAGGGGUUUAUACUGUAAAAUCAUUUUAUAGACACUUAAUAGAAAAUGGGAUCAAAUAUCCACACUUAUACAUGUGGAAAAUCAAAAUGCCACCUAGAGUCAAGGUCUUUAUGUGGUUGGCUUUUAGAAACAGCAUUCUUACCAAAGAUAAUCUAUUAUGUAGAGGAUGGAAAGGAGAUGAGAAAUGUCCAUUUUGUGGGCGUGAAGAAAGCAUAAAUCAUCUCUUCUUAUCCUGCUCUGUAGCUAGGUUACUGUGGAAUAUUUUAAAAUGUGCAUUCAACUUAUCUGACAUUCCAGAUGAUCUUGAACUGGUGAUGAGAACCUGGGCCAAGACUUUUGGAAAUGAAGAGAGGGGAUUAGUUAUGAUAGGAAUUUCUGCUAUCUGUUGGACAAUUUGGAAAUUGAGGAAUAGUGUGGUUUUUUAUAAUAACAGGGUAAAUGAUCCCUGCAUACCUGUUAAUCUACUGCUUAAAAAUUUACAUGAUUGA
This 531-nucleotide ribosomal RNA is filed under the name Triticum aestivum (bread wheat). Its description in RNAcentral is "partial small subunit ribosomal RNA". The record is from RNAcentral. Lineage: Eukaryota; Viridiplantae; Streptophyta; Magnoliopsida; Poales; Poaceae.